GCGUCGUAGCUCAGUUGGUUAGAGCACCACCUUGACAUGGUGGGGGUCGGUGGUUCGAGUCCACUCGGACGCA
RNAcentral lists this transfer RNA (73 nucleotides) under Escherichia coli ISC41. Its description in RNAcentral is "tRNA-Val-GAC". It matches the Rfam family "tRNA". From Rfam's summary of the family: Transfer RNA (tRNA) molecules are approximately 80 nucleotides in length. Their secondary structure includes four short double-helical elements and three loops (D, anti-codon, and T loops). Further hydrogen bonds mediate the characteristic L-shaped molecular structure. tRNAs have two regions of fundamental functional importance: the anti-codon, which is responsible for specific mRNA codon recognition, and the 3' end, to which the tRNAs corresponding amino acid is attached (by aminoacyl-tRNA synthetases). tRNAs cope with the degeneracy of the genetic code in two manners: having more than one tRNA (with a specific anti-codon) for a particular amino acid; and 'wobble' base-pairing, i.e. permitting non-standard base-pairing at the 3rd anti-codon position. Lineage: Bacteria; Pseudomonadati; Pseudomonadota; Gammaproteobacteria; Enterobacterales; Enterobacteriaceae. The record is from RNAcentral.